Molecule: ribosomal RNA, 772 nt
Filed under: uncultured bacterium
Lineage: Bacteria
Description: bacterial SSU rRNA
Rfam family: Bacterial small subunit ribosomal RNA
Source: RNAcentral
GCGGCAUGCCUACACAUGCAAGUCGUACGGAGAGUGGGGCAACUCACUCUCAGUGGCAAACGGGUGAGUAACGCGUGAAUAACCUACCUUUGAGAAAGGGAUAACUGUCCGAAAGGAUAGCUGAUACCCUAUAUUGCCUUUUGUCACUAAGGGAAAAGGUGAAAGCGAGGCUGUCAAAGGCUUCGGCUCAAAGAGGGGUUCGCGUCCUAUCAGGUAGUUGGUGGGGUAAUGGCCUACCAAGCCAAUGACGGGUAGCUGGUCUUAAAGGAUGAUCAGCCACAGUGGGACUGAGACACGGCCCGCACCCCUACGGGGGGCGGCAGUGGGGAAUCGUGGGCAAUGGGCGCAAGCCUGACCCCGCAAUGCCGCGUGAGGGAAGAAGCCCUUCCGGGUGUAAACCUCUGUCAGAUGGGAAGAUGAGACUAGGGGCUAAUACCUCCUGGUCUUGACGGUACCAUCAUAGGAAGGGACGGCUAACUACGUGCCAGCAGCCGCGGUAAUACGUAUGUCCCGAGCGUUGCGCGAUGUUACUGGGCGUAAAGCGUCCGUAGCUGGUUUCGUAAGCGGAUUGUCAAAACCCAAAGCUUAACCUCGGCAAGGCAUUCCGAACUGCGUUACUUGAGUCCUGUUCACGUCAGCGGAAUUCCCGGUGUAUCGGUGAAAUGCGUAGAUAUCAGGACGAACACCAGUGGCGCAAGCGGCCUACUGUGACGGUACUGACAGUCAUGGACGAUAGCUGGGGGAGCAAAUCCGAUUANAUACCCUGGUAGUC